AGUGAACGCUGGCGGUAGGCCUAACACAUGCAAGUCGAACGGCAGCACAGUAAGAGCUUGCUCUUACGGGUGGCGAGUGGCGGACGGGUGAGGAAUACAUCGGAAUCUACUUUUUCGUGGGGGAUAACGUAGGGAAACUUACGCUAAUACCGCAUACUACCUACGGGUGAACGCAGGGGAUCUUCUGACCUUGCGCGAUUGAAUGAGCCGAUGUCGGAUUAGCUAGUUGGCGGGGUAAAGGCCCACCAAGGCGACGAUCCGUAGCUGGUCUGAGAGGAUGAACAGCCACAAGGGAACUGAGACAAGGGCCAAACUCCUACGGGAGGCAGCAGUGGGGAAUAUUGGACAAUGGGCGCAAGCCUGAUCCAGCCAUACCGCGUGGGGGAAGAAGGCCUUCGGGUUGUAAAGCCCUUUUGUUGGGAAAGAAAAGCAGCAGGUUAAUACCCCGCUGUUAUGACGGUACCCAAAGAAUAAGCACCGGCUAACUUCGUG
Molecule: ribosomal RNA, 492 nt
Filed under: uncultured bacterium
Lineage: Bacteria
Description: partial 16S ribosomal RNA
Rfam family: Bacterial small subunit ribosomal RNA
Source: RNAcentral